UCCGUUCACAAAGUUUCUUCCUUAUUGUGCUGGACACAGUUCUAUAAUGUCAAUUGACGUUGUAAGAAAAAUGUACAGAGCUUCAAAGAAUGUACCUUAUUUAUGGCUAGAGGAUGUUUAUGGGAGUGGAUUUUUAUCUUUGCUCCUAAAGCUAAAAAUGUUUAUGCCGAAAUUUUAUUUUGAGCCUGUGAUAAGUAGUUUAAAUGAUAAGCCGUGCAGUUUAUUCUAUCUGAAUAUUUUAAAAAAUGACACGAAUGCAUUAGUUUUAUGGCAUACUAUAACACAACAUGGAACGAAACUAAACUGUACGUGUUAAUAUUGGAUAUGAACAUAUGCGUUUCUUAAUAUCCCCGCACUCUGGUUUACUCCACCAAUAAAAACUGAUCGCCACGAAAAAGCACAACAAUGUUGGAGAGGCGUUAAACACCAAUCAAUCAAUAAUAUUCCCUACUGGACGUUAUUCCUCUUGCUGCAAGUUGUUUUUCAAGGUUGCAUUUCGUGUGCUAGAAAAUAUGCCAGCUCGACGUCAAUGGCGUUAGAUGUCCAAUAUUGACGUCAUCCGAUAUAUGACGUCACGUUUUAAUGAUCGUUACAUUUGAGACCCAUUGACGAAAAAAUAUAACACUGUUAAAUCUAUGGUCUUUUAUUUAAAAAGACACAACAAUGAGGAGAAGCGUGCAUAAAUUAAAUAAUGGACAUAUGUGUCAUUCCGGCAUAGUCGGUGUGGACACAUAUGUCCCUCCGGCAGCAAGAGAGUUAAACAAACAACGAUAAAAACAGUAACUCUAUAUAUUUCGUCAUUCAGUGCAACGCAAAAACCAAAUUAAAAAUCCAUUAUACUUUAAAUGUUAACUCAUGAUGUACAAAAUUAACUUAGUUUCCAGUUAACGUGACCAUAAUGUCCUUGAAACUUACCCAAAAUUAAAUAGUAACCUGAUGCGGGUCGGACUAGCUAUAAGAUAUAAUAAGAUAGAUAUAGUUAUUCCAAUUAAAGGGCAUGUGAAGAACAGGGGUUUUAUGACAAAUUCAUUGAUUUUAAUAUUGACAUAUUAUUUUGAUAAUCAUAUAUGCAUAUUUAUAUAAUUGUCUCAAUUUUGGGAUCUUUCAUCGAAGCCCAGCC
This 1120-nucleotide long non-coding RNA is filed under the name Mytilus galloprovincialis (Mediterranean mussel). The record is from RNAcentral. Lineage: Eukaryota; Metazoa; Mollusca; Bivalvia; Mytilida; Mytilidae.